RNAcentral lists this unclassified non-coding RNA (308 nucleotides) under Hevea brasiliensis (rubber tree). The record is from RNAcentral. Lineage: Eukaryota; Viridiplantae; Streptophyta; Magnoliopsida; Malpighiales; Euphorbiaceae.
AAAACAACAAUUUGAGAAGCAUAAAGAAGUUAGUGGAAGUUCAGCUAAUAAAUCAGAAAUGGAAAGAUAUCUUGCGGAAGAUAUUGAGUCAGAUAGUGAUGACUUUGAUAUAUUAAUGUGGUGGAAAGUUAAUGAGCCGAGAUUUCCUAUUCUCGCGGAGAUGGUUCGUGAUGUGCUAGCCAUUCCCAUUUCAAGUGUCGCAUCAGAAUGUGCAUUCAGCACUGGAGGUCGUGUUUUUGAUCCCUUUAGGAGUUCAUUAACUCCUAAAAUUGUGCAAUCGCUUAUUUGUGUUCAAGAUUGGCUUAGAA